CUUAGAUAAAGCAAAGAAUUCCAACAAAAGUGUGAUUGAUUUGUAAUUUAUUUUAAUGGUCUUAUGAAGUGGAUGUUAACAUGUGAUUGUUGUCACGUGUUGUUAAUCUAUAUUCUCCAAAAUUACAGAAAGAGAGAGAAUUCUCCCCCAUAAAUUUUCCUAAACCCCAAACAAUGCACGAAAUCAUGUAAAUUAGAGGAAAAACCAAAGGAAGAACAAGAAACAAGUAAAUUAACAAAGAAAUGUGCAGAAAUGGUAGCUUUCUAGAGAGCUCACUUGGAAUCGAAAUUGCCUAAAAUUUGAUUGCACUCCAGGUCCAAUGUUGCCUGCAGGUUUAAAUGAAAUAACAAAAAGCAUACACAAACAGGUUUAAAUAAAAAUAAUGCCAUGGAA
Molecule: unclassified non-coding RNA, 393 nt
Filed under: Hevea brasiliensis (rubber tree)
Lineage: Eukaryota; Viridiplantae; Streptophyta; Magnoliopsida; Malpighiales; Euphorbiaceae
Source: RNAcentral